RNAcentral lists this transfer RNA (91 nucleotides) under Bacillota bacterium. Its description in RNAcentral is "tRNA-Leu". It matches the Rfam family "tRNA". From Rfam's summary of the family: Transfer RNA (tRNA) molecules are approximately 80 nucleotides in length. Their secondary structure includes four short double-helical elements and three loops (D, anti-codon, and T loops). RNAcentral also lists the same sequence under 1 other name. The record is from RNAcentral. Lineage: Bacteria; Bacillati; Bacillota.
GCCCGGGUGGCGGAACUGGCAGACGCACAGGACUUAAAAUCCUGCGAACCCUCUAAGGUUCGUACCGGUUCGAUUCCGGUCCCGGGCACCA